This is a long non-coding RNA of Camelus dromedarius (Arabian camel), 923 nucleotides long. RefSeq lists it as uncharacterized. The transcript is spliced from 6 exons. The record is from RefSeq and is a predicted model, not a curated record. Lineage: Eukaryota; Metazoa; Chordata; Mammalia; Artiodactyla; Camelidae.
CCUCUAGAAGGCAUUGCACCCUAUCAUUCAGUAAUCAAUAGUAUCCCUCUCAUUUUGUUCUCUCUUUUCAGUUGAAGAUUCACUGUUGUCACAAGGACAAUGAGGAAAGAAAGGACAGUAUGGAUCCUCUGGAACUAUAAUGGAUGUGCGAGUGAGCAGCCUGGCAAGAAUCAUUUUCAAGCACCCAGCUUCCCAGUGCCAGGGACCUCUCCCAUCAACAGCCUAUGGCUAUGAAUUCUUUAUCCCUGUGAGCUUGGCUGCCAUAUGUGAUUCGGACAGAAGAUGGAGAGAAGCCCCAGGCUGCGGUGGCAGGUGUGCGCUUCCAGGGAGUACGGUGUUUGAAGCCGGAGGGACUGCUGUGGCCUGUGUUUUCAGGACAGCAAGCCUGCGUCCUGGGUGGCACUGGAGGAUGGAGACAAGCAGGAAGGAGACCACAUGCUUGUUGUUCAAGGAUCCUGUUCAUGGGCCCGAGGAGCUCUGCCAUUAAGCAGUGAGCUUCCUGCCUCCUUCUCACUGUCUACGUUGGACAUGACUGAAGUAGAAGCUUCUGGAAGCAGAUGGAAGCUCGCUGCCUCAUGAUGGUUAAUACUUAAUAGUCCAGUGACCUACCCUAGGCAAGUCUAAAUGGUUACAUCACAAGCAUCAAACUGAAGUGACUAUAUUUAACCCAGUAUUCUGAGAAAGAGGAACCAGAAACUGCUGUCUGGCACACUCCCCAGCUAUAAGCCCUAUAAAGAAAAGAAAUGAAGCUUGGGUGGCAGCUGAAGCUUAAUUCCUAGAACAUCUUCCCGCUUUGUGAACACCACCUCAGAAGAUGAUCACAACAGCAUCCCAACACUCACUGUCAUGGAAACGCCAUGGACCAGCCAGUCAAGCAUUUCAGCUGAAACCGAUUCCAGCCAUCUCAGCGCUUCCUCCCGAGA